RNAcentral lists this unclassified non-coding RNA (8862 nucleotides) under Monomorium pharaonis (pharaoh ant). RNAcentral describes it as "uncharacterized LOC105831501, transcript variant X1". Lineage: Eukaryota; Metazoa; Arthropoda; Insecta; Hymenoptera; Formicidae. The record is from RNAcentral.
CAUAUUCACGACGACUUGCCCGGGACAAUGGUGAAUAUGAAUAAGCGCGACUCGUCGCGCGACGCCAAUAUUAUUCAUGGUAAUUAUUAGCAAUAAUUAAUCUGUAAUCAUAAUAGAUUAUAUCCGGGGCUUAUUAAUAAGCCGCUGACUCGGAAUUUAUAAUUGUCACCUUUUUCGGCAGCGCGCAUUCGCGUCACGCCUUUUUCGUCGGCGGCGCGAUCGAUCGAUUAAUUAAAAUCAGUGCGUCGACAUUGACGACAACAAUGCGACAAUGAUGGCAAGGGGGACAAAAGACGAUGAAUUCCGAGAUGUUCCAACGCGAAGAUUAGCGCCGCGUUUUAAAGAAGUAAUCUAUGGUUUACUGCACGCCCUCGUUGUUCGUAAUCCGGUGUUUUGUUCGGUCGGAGGGAAAGAGAGAUUCGCUUAAAUCCUGCUUAUACGUACCGCGGAGAUAGCUGCAGGGGUUGGUUCUCUAGCUCGUCUCUCGAAAAACGAGAGGCGCGAACGCCGAGAGGCAAAGCAACAAUUUACACGGAGGCGAAAUAAACAGGGAAUUGGUUAAAAACGUCCGAGUCCUUAUCGCUAAAUUGCACGAUAAUCGAUAAAGACUUCAUAAACGUUCAACAGUAAUGGAAAUCGGAAAAACAGGGGGACGGGUUUAAAUGUCGCAUUCACGUCACUGUCAUUGCCGUACGGAUGGUUCGUUGGAGGACCAGAGAGAAUGGUUCUUUUUUAACGCAAGAGAGAUUGAAACGCGCCGCGCUUUUACCUUUUUUUUUUUUACAGUGUCCUGUAUUACAGCCACUCGCACGCGCGUAUUGUUUCGUGAAACGCGUUCGUCGCGGCAAAGCAGUGACGUUUUAUCUCCCCCAAACAAUCACCGAGGGGGAGAUGAUCGAAAAAAUGUAUCACGCUAAAAAUCCCCGCGAAAGUCUCGCCCUCCGUGAGGUGACGGGCCGGAAAACGGAGAGCCUUCUGCCCUUCAUCUCGGUUGUCGGUCACGUAAUCUCGUCGUCUUCGUCGUGCAAAUCCCCGCGCCACGUCCGUCAAUGACCCUGGCCCGCAUCGUGUCGCGCGGUAUCGGAAAUUUGCAUUGGAAAAUAAAUCGCCCGCUCCCGCGAAGGUCGCCCGUUCCGGAAAAUCAGGUUUGCGCGAAGAGCGGCGGCGGCGUCACGCAUUAACGGACCCCGUGAAAGUGUCCGGGUUCGCUGAGGUUUGGAACCUGUCCGAGCGGGGAAAAUUACCUGCACGUAAUAGCAAGAGGGAAAACAGAAACGAAAGCAAACGUCGUCGAUCGCGACGGUGCGGCGCGGCGCCGGGAGAGCAAGCAAGUCUCUCGAGUGCCGCACGAGAACCUAACGACUCUCGAGAGUCGAGCCCGAGUCCCGCCCGAGUCACGAUUUUCAUGGAGUUGCUGCUGCUGCUGCUGCUGCUGCCGCGGCGGAAAGAGGCGAGCAUAACGCUCGCUCCUUCCCUCCUUCCCUUUUUUCUCCUAACUGUUGCAGCUUAGAUACCCGCGGAUAGGGCGCGGGCCGGGACAAACGCGCGCGCGCGCCACGGAUGAACGCACGCUUUAGCGUCGUAACGGGGCUCGCGAUCACGCGUUACACACGGUGAAAGGAAAAAUGCAUUAUUUCCCCUCCCACGCGGCGGCGGGCGGCAUAUUUUUCUGAUUGCAUCAAGAGGUUACGUGUAUUCACUCGCGUGCAUUGCGCCGCGCGGCGCAUGAUGCGUUUCAGCGGGACAAAAAAAAAAGGAAAGAAAAAAGUCAGGAAAAAGUAAGGAAAAAAAAAACAAAGAAACGCAAUUGAUGUUCAUUUUCACCAGUGUAGAUUAAUUGCGAUCUCGGUUUAAUUUCUUCUUUAUCUUUGUGUAUAAUCCUUAGAGGUGGAAAAAGAUAAAGUGCGAGUUAAAGGCGAGAUGAAAGACGUAAGAGCGAUCACGGCGAGUUUACGAGUCCACCGGGGAGCGAGGUCUAUCCCGACGACCGGUUUGCGUAGCUCGACCGUUUAACUGAUCGUUCAACCGAUCCCACAGCCGCUUUUAUUAAUCUGUCUAUCGCCCCGGAUUAAUUAGAGCGUUCGAGAAAUAACAACGGGCUGACGCAAUUAGAAAUUACAUGGUUUCGGAUAAGGAGGAUUUAUAGGCCAAUUUUCGCCUUUUUGGAUACUCUACCCGACAGAACUCCAUAACGGGAUACACGUGAACGUAUACACGAAGCGUUAUAUUGUGCCUCAGCCUAACCGACUCGCUCCCUCACUAGUCAUUGUUCAUUGUUUUACAACGUUAUUCGCCACACGAUCGCAUCUACGCAAUUUCCCUUUCAUCUCUCUCCCUUCCCUUCCCUCUUCUUCUCUCCAGCCGACUCUGCCGCUCUUUACUCGCUCAAGAGGGUCAAGUGAAAUAACGCUUUAAGUUAUUACAGAAAUAACGGCAGCGAGUUUAAUUAGCGAAGUGGCAUUAAUUAUCGAAAAUUAUAUUCGUCGAUGAAUACCGACAGUCGUUGUCACUCAACCGUCGCCCGUUCUCCUUCUUCGAGCUUCGCUAAUAGCGGAUGGCGAUUUUUACGAGCGUGGCGCCUUCAGUUCGUUGAUAAUUACCUUCUUCUUUCAGUAUCUCUUGUGACUCUUGGAUACGUUAAUGAAAAGGUGAUUAAAGGCUGAUUUUCCAGAGGGACAAAAAGACCGACAGAAUUAAUUCUGUCAGUCCGCGAAAGUUUGUCGCGUCGCACGAGAGCUCAUUUCCGACUCUCCCCUCGUUGUAUCAGACGUGCAUUACAAACCGCCCCUUUCGUGCCGGCGAUGCCUCGGAGGAAGUUUCACGAUUCUCGACUCGAUGAUUCGCUCGCAAGGAGACGCGAUCCUCAGAUCCUCGCGAGAGAAUUGGCAACGUACGACCAGGCGGCGCAUGAUUCUCGCGAGAUCGAUUUUCGCGUAGUACGGGGAUAUAAUUUCACGCUCGCGACCUAAACGUCGAUCCGGCUUUACAUGUCGUACUCGGAGAAGAGGUAGAGGAGAGAUUAACGCACGCACCCAGGAGUCAGCGCUUUAACUCACUUCCUAGCCCUGCGGGCUUUGCAGUCCCGUCAUCUCUUUUUUCCCUCUCCUUUCCAUUUCCUCGCGCCCAUCCGGGUUUUUCACGUCUCUCCUUCCUUUCAUUUUUCGCGGCUCUUCUCCGAGGCAUCUUCGCACCCCUGUCUCUCAUGCAUUUUCUUUCGCUUCCCUUCGCUCGCCCUCCCGUCCCUUUUUCUCGCCGUGCCGACGACGGCUCCGACAAAUUUCAUAAGAGCUGGUCUCCUGGCACGACAGCGCCAGGACUCGACGAGAUUAUCCACGCCGUCGUGCGCGAGUCAUCCACCGGAUUUUCGAUUUUCCUCGCUUCCGACUCGCGAAACUUUCUACGCCGCGAAAGAUAAUAAUUGCCCGACUGAUUGAGAGAAAACGGCAAUACGACACCAGAUAAAUCGCGGCGGCCGCGGGCACCCCGCUGGGUCCGUCUAAUUUUCCAACACGUCGAACUUUCAAACUCGCGACGCGAGUUACUCCUGGCAAGACCUGGUGUUUUCCGCGUCGAGCUACCCGAACUGCGAUGUUGCAGCUCUCGGAUUAUCAAGGCGACUGGGGGGGAAAGAGAGGGAGAGUGCAUUCUGUUCAUAAGUAAUCCGAUUAAGGCCGUACUCUCUCAGGUAGCCCACCGCCGCCGCCGCCUCCUCCUCCUCCUCCUCUUUCGCGAUGUUCUUAUUAAUCCUGUAAAACCGAAGUACGUGUAACGAGAGCGCAAACUCGGAGAAAUUAAUAUUACUGACGAGGGCGCGCGAUAAAUCAACUUUUACGACAGAACUCAAAUAAACGUCGGGGCGGAAACUUUAGAUUAAAACUUGCGUGGCAGUGAAUCGCCCUCUGGUUGUCUCUUAUUUUCCAUCUUCCUCUAUCGCCUUUCGCUCGCCCGCUUUCCGUUGCAACAUCCUUUAGGAAUAUUAAUCGAUUUUUUCAUCGACUUAUUAACUCGUACGUAGCCUCGGUAGAUUAUCUUGUCCUCGAGGGGCGAAUAAAAGGAAACGGCGACGGUACCGUCGCGAUAAUAAAUCGCGAUAAUAAAUCGCGGGCAUAAAGAGGAAUACUCUUCCUCCCGACGCGACGUUCCCAAAUGUAUUAAAUUAAAAAGUGGUUGGGUAUAACGAAGGUGUCGUCCUUGAUCGCGCGAUCUGCCCAUCCUCGGGCGCAUCUCGCGGCUAUUAUUAACCGCGUCGCAGCGUAUUGAAAACCUUGUCCUCACUUUAGCCCGCCGUAGAAAAUCGGCCGUUGACGAAACCUGGCGACGCGAUCGCCGGGUAAGGCCUUGAACCGGCACUCGCGCUGAUACCUGGCCGAGAAAGGAGCCCGACGAUUACGAUCGAGCGAUCGGCCCCGCGCUUAUUGUCGAGAAUAUUCUCGUCGGCCCGUUCCGGCAAUAUCGCGCGCAGAUAUCGCCGUCAUAAAGAAUUAUAAACACCCGAACCGGGUCAGAUUAUUACUAAAUGGAGCGUGCAAAUCGCAGCAUGCAAACUGGCCACGAAGCUGCGUAGAAAACCGCGUUGUCAGCCAACAACUUAUCCUGGCGAAAAGUCGCCGAUUCUUUUUGGCGAUUUGCAACGCGAUGGAAAAGCCCCUGUACUCGGAGCAGUAUGAUACGGAGACAAAUUCGUCACUUCGUGGCACGGCCAAUUUAAUUCGACCGUUUGAAUUAACCAUCGAUGAUUAUUCGCGCGUAUAUUCUUUCCUCAAAUUUUCAUGCAUUAUCGCGCGCGAAUCAUCAAUUAUUUAGCAUGCGGAGGGCUGGUGGCGCACGUCCGUUAUUAUUGACACGAACGUGCUUAAAACAGAGGGGGCCACCAGCCGAAUGUUGUGUCGUUAGCGACCAAUUACCAGAGUUCGAGUAUAUCGCUCGAUAAUAUCCUUCGCAACGGCGCGGCGGGCGUAAAGAGGGAGGGCGAGGACGGUAUUAUGCAGCCGCCAUACGGCCGGUAACUUGUAAGUAGUAACUGUCAAAGUUAUAACGCGAAAAUUACAAUCCCCGUGAUGUAUGAGGCCGUACAAUGCGGCGGCACGCAACGCGAGCGCGUAUUAAUUCGCAAGCGCGCCGCCCACGCGCGCGCUCGCGAUCUCCGCCGCGUAACGUUGCCCACGCAUUUUCAUUCGUAGUCACGUUUUCCGAGCUCCGCCGUUUCAGUCUUACGCCGAAAUUUAUAUCGCGCGCGUUUAACGGCUUAUUAUUUCAGCGCGAGCUGGACUCGCCGGAGUUCAAUUCCUACUCAAAUCUCUUUACUCAAUUCUUCCCUGAACUGCCCCGGAACCUUCGCAUCUGAUUUUCCUGAUAACGUUCCUCAUCGACAUCUAACUAAACAUCCUCGAUGGGGCGAAGACGUCAAUUCCUCUCGCGAUUUUUAACGUCGUUGUCUCGUUCCUCUCGUGAACGUCGACGUCGUUACGAAAUUGAUCGACCUUAUCCUAUACGUGUGCCAUGAAAGGAGUAUUGCGUUGAAAUCGAUCAGAAAUCGAGAGAUCGUGAGAUCGGGGCGUGCUGGUAUCCCCGGACUCACCUCGAUCCGAGGAGACAGGCUUUAAUGACUUCGAACGAUCGACAGAUCUCUCAGAACGAGAACAUUUCGCUAAUCCGGAUUGCGGCAUCCGGAUCGGUCAUUGACACGGAACGGUCUUUCGGUCCCCAUCUAAUUAAUAAAACUUUCUCCAAAGGCAAUAUCAACCCAAUUUACAUCUACAACUUUCGACAACAUCACCUACGUCUCGCUUGUUUUUACUCGCGACUGCGGAAUCGCUUUAACGGAGUGACGUACAGAUCAGCGGGCGCGUAUCGAAAGUCGAUAAACGAAUUUCUCGAGUACGACGAUCGAAAAUUCCAUGUUGGAACACAACGUUCGGCACACCCCACAAUCCGCGCAAUCUCCGAGUACUAGUUUUUCCGUACUUCUCUCGUGAUUCCGACGUGUGGAGCAACAUUCCCGAUAAAUAUAAAGCGCCGCGCGAUAAGCGCGACAGGCAGCCCGGAGAGGGAGGUAGAACCCUCGUGCGUUUGUCGAAAUAACGUUAAUUCCGGCAACCGACCGGCCAGGCACGUGCGACUUAGGCGAGACUGAGUUUCCGCGAGAAUCGGCGGAAACUUUCCGAGAAACACGAAAGGUGCAAACACACUUCUUUUCCGUCUCAAUUUUCCCUCCUUUCGAUCGCGAGCCACACUCCGCUCGGCUCUACGUACAUGGGCACUGGCUGCUCUCUCUUCCUCUCUCCUCCGCGAUUUCUUUUAUUAUCUCGUCGAAUUCGACGAGUGACGUAGAAGAGCGAGAUGGCAUUAGAGGAGAAUUCAAUCUCCCAGCAUCAAGAUUAUUUCUGCAGUCAGUUUAAAAGUCUUGUCCGAUUUUGCGCGAGGCCGAGAGUCUCGGUCUGGCUUGGAAUCAACUGGUGUGGGGGUGCAAUUAGGAUAAUCCACGGGAUAUUAAUUUUCUACGAAUCUCGCGGAGCCAACUCGAAAUUGAGAUUAGCAAUUUAAUAUCGCAACGUUUCCGAAUUUACGACAUUAAACGCGAGAAUCUUGGCCACGGCAAAUCAGCGACGCGUUUUGAAACGGCGCGGUUAGGGUAAUGACGAUUGUAACGACUUACGAAUUUCGAGUCGCCGAAUAUUGCGUAACACGCGCUACAUCCUGCUGCAUUAAAAUCUAUAAUUCCGCCGAAUUUAAUCUAUUAUUUCACGUAGCGAGAACAACGCGCGAGAACCGGUUUUAUUUCAGGUCACCUGCCUUUCCACGGACAAAAAUAAAACGCGUGGAGAAUGACGGAUGAUUAAAUGUGACUCAUUUUUACGUCUACGAAACAAGGAAAUACGCGCCACGGGCUUAGGAGCAAAACGGGUUAAUUGCGCAAGACCAAGUCACAAGGCUGCUUAUCGAAGAAUUCCAGAAGUCACGGCGCGCCUUUGUCUCCUACUGCGUUACAUUCGACGGAGCUCCAACAAUUCUUAAAGACAUCCGCUACGUCGGAAUAUAAAUAAACCCGGAUCUCAUAGAGAUCGAAAUUGAGAUUUUUGUAAUUUCUUCUUUUCACUUUACGAUGCAAUAUCCUUCCGUAUAUGUGGGAAGAACGAUUUUGCUCUAAAAAUUUAGCUGGAUAUGAAAGCAAUUUUAUUGGACCAUCAAAAUAAUUAGGGCAGAACAUUCGAACAAUGCGAUUAAAAGGUUUUGACGUUCCAGCAAUCAAUUUGCGUCCGUUAUUUUUAAACUUGUAUCUGACUGAAUUUUUAGAGCUUAAAUUUUUGCUCGAACCGAAAUCGACUUUUUCCGUGGAAUAUAACAGUACGACGCAAUGAAAUGAUUUUUUUUACACAUCGUUCAAACCAGUAUCCGCGUAACCGCAGCGCGUUGUAACGCGUCGAGAUUCUUUGUUACAUGAUUCCUAUUGAUUGAUGGUUGCAAGCGAGCGAGGAAAUAAAACAUCGGAAUGUUAAGAGAAGGCAAUUUAAAUCAGUCGGCGCAGCGAGAUACCGGCGGGCGCAGGGAGGGAAAAAGCUCGGGGAGGGACGGGGGGGAAUCUCAUUUCAAUGAAAACGUCCGUUGGCUUCAUACCGGCAAAUGCAAAACGUCGUCGAACAUAGUCAAUAUCGGCGCGCUCGCUGUACGCAUCUGCAUAGCCGGAAUAUUUCCCGCCAAUCGGUUUCUCAUUCAUCGCCUCGCCCGUCGUCGUGGAAAGUUGGCUUCGCGGUGCGUAAUGCAGUCGAUAAAUUUCUUGGCAAGUAUCCCUUCCCCCCUUUCCGCAUUUUAAUCGCCCGCCGGGCAUGUCGUUAAUCUUUCCUCGUGUUUAUCUGCAAAAGCAGUGUUGCGGAGAAUGAAUCGACAACAUGUCUUGCCUACAGCAUCCUUCUAACGUAUCUCGAAAAUAAGCUCUUAAAGAAAAAAAGUGGUUGUUACCGCUUCUCUAUUUUUGUAGAUUAAACGUGCGUCAUUUGAGACUGAUUCAAGUGUAUUACGGAUCGUUAUGCACUGCGGUGUUCUCUACAAUUUUGUGAAUUACGUGUAGUGAAAGAGGUGCACUUCUCGUCCGGGUGUGUGCAGUACUUUCGCGUCGGUAUAAACGAAAAGCCAUAAAGUGAAGCUUUCCAUCGACAACUUUGGACGAGACCAGAGGCAUUCUUCGUCUCUCUCUCUCUCUCUCUUCCUCCCCCUCACUCCCUUUUUCCUUCACUCUCGGCUCAGCUCGAGAAUACGUGUGUACGCCUCCUGGACGUACUUCCAUACUCCCCGAGACUGACGCAGGCGUGGUACGUGCACCGAAGGUUUUAUAGUAUUAACUGAAAUUGCAACAGUCCCCGUAAAGUAGGAGGCUUUAGUAGUAACCGGGUGUGUGUGCACGCGGAGAUAUACAGGGUGGCCGGAGAAUGAAGGCGCGCCUCGCCCGUGUUUCGAAACGAGAAAAUCGAUGACUUUCUCUUCGUCGCUCAGUCAUCGACUACCUGCGGGUUGUCGGUUGUCAUCGCGGUUGACAAUCAUGGUGAUCGUUAUGUCCACGAGAUUAGAGUCGCGAGUCCCCCACGCGAUUGGUUCUGCCAGUUAGCUGUCGUUAAUCCAAAUGGAACACGUAUAUCAUUAUCAAAUCGCCCGCAGAUUUACGCGUGUGAACGAGCUAACCUUUCGUACCAACGCCCGUCUCGGCGUCGAGGGUAAAGGCAGUCACAGCAAACGGCGGUCGGAGCAGCAAGGUAUCGAAGCGGGCGAAACCCCUCGAUCCCGAUGAAGACGACUAUUACUACGAUGAUCCCGUGGACGAGAGGAACAAUCCGACGAACGAGGCGCCGGCAGUGCCGCCCGGAUUCCUGA